CCAUCUAAUCGGGACUCAUGAUAGAGGGACUGAAUCACAUGUUAACUACACCUAGAGGUUCAUUUUAGUUCUACUGGAUUGCCACUAUAUACUGUUAGGUGUCACUGGGAGAUUGUAAGAGCUCACUAGGAUUGUUUUAGAUCAACAAUCCUUGAUUCAGUUAGAGUGAAAUUAUUUCGACCCAUUGAAAAGAGUUUCAAUGAUAUAAUGAAAGAGAUCAUUGUAUAUCUCACUACCAGAUAGAAUUGAAUCUAUGAGAUCACACAACAAAGGGAUU
RNAcentral lists this long non-coding RNA (277 nucleotides) under Elaeis guineensis (African oil palm). RNAcentral describes it as "long non-coding RNA (EGUI_LNC063102)". Lineage: Eukaryota; Viridiplantae; Streptophyta; Magnoliopsida; Arecales; Arecaceae. The record is from RNAcentral.